Molecule: ribosomal RNA, 407 nt
Filed under: uncultured bacterium
Lineage: Bacteria
Description: partial 16S ribosomal RNA
Rfam family: Bacterial small subunit ribosomal RNA
Source: RNAcentral
GUUGAACGCUAGCGGGAUGCCUUACACAUGCAAGUCGAACGGAGUGGCGAACGGGUGAGUAAUGUAUCGGAACGUGCCCAGUAGCGGGGGAUAACUACGCGAAAGCGUAGCUAAUCCCGCAUACUAUUGGAGCGGCCGAUAUCGGCUGAGCUAGUUGGUGGGGUAACGGGUCACCAAGGCGACGAUCCGUAGCUGGUUUGAGAGGACGACCAGCCACACUGGGACUGAGACACGGCCCAGACUCCUACGGGAGGCGCCAGUGGGGAAUUUUGGAGAUUGGGGGAAACCCUGAUCCAGCCAUCCCGGGUGUGCGAUGAAGGCCUUCGGGUUGUAAAGCACGUUGUGCAGGAAAGCGGUACCUGCAGAAUAAGCACCGGCUAACUACGUGCCAGCCGCCGCGGUAAUUC